GCCGGGGUGGCCUAGUCUGGUUAGGGCGUCAGACUCAUAGGGAUUGGAAGCAUGGAUGCCUGAAACCUGAGAUAUCUGAAGGUCGCGGGUCCAAAUCCCGCCCCCGGUA
Molecule: transfer RNA, 109 nt
Filed under: Candidatus Syntropharchaeum butanivorans
Lineage: Archaea; Methanobacteriati; Halobacteriota; Candidatus Syntropharchaeia; Candidatus Syntropharchaeales
Description: Candidatus Syntrophoarchaeum butanivorans tRNA
Rfam family: tRNA
About the family: Transfer RNA (tRNA) molecules are approximately 80 nucleotides in length. Their secondary structure includes four short double-helical elements and three loops (D, anti-codon, and T loops). Further hydrogen bonds mediate the characteristic L-shaped molecular structure. tRNAs have two regions of fundamental functional importance: the anti-codon, which is responsible for specific mRNA codon recognition, and the 3' end, to which the tRNAs corresponding amino acid is attached (by aminoacyl-tRNA synthetases). tRNAs cope with the degeneracy of the genetic code in two manners: having more than one tRNA (with a specific anti-codon) for a particular amino acid; and 'wobble' base-pairing, i.e. permitting non-standard base-pairing at the 3rd anti-codon position.
Source: Rfam by way of RNAcentral